Molecule: ribosomal RNA, 478 nt
Filed under: uncultured bacterium
Lineage: Bacteria
Description: partial 16S ribosomal RNA
Rfam family: Bacterial small subunit ribosomal RNA
Source: RNAcentral
GACGAACGCUGGCGGCGUGCUUAACACAUGCAAGUCGAACGGGAUUUAGUAGACAGAAGCCUCGGCUAAAGAUUACUAAUGAGAGUGGCGAACGGGUGAGUAACGCGUGAGCAACCUGCCUAUGACAGUGGGAUAGCCUCGGGAUACCGGGAUUAAUACCGCAUAAAAUCGUAGAAACACAUGUUUUAACGGUCAAAGAUUUAUCGGUCAUAGAUGGGCUCGCGUCUGAUUAGCUAGUUGGUGAGAUAACAGCCCACCAAGGCGACGAUCAGUAGCCGGUCUGAGAGGAUGAACGGCCACAUUGGAACUGAGACACGGUCCAAACUCCUACGGGAGGCAGCAGUGGGGAAUAUUGCACAAUGGGGGAAACCCUGAUGCAGCGACGCCGCGUGAACGAAGAAGGUAUUCGUAUCGUAAAGUUCUGUCCUAUGGGAAGAUAAUGACAGUACCAUAGAAGAAAGCGCCGGCUAAAUACGUG